ACUGGUGCUAUAAGAGAAUUGCUCAGAUGGUAAUAGCCAAUCAAUAGCAAUCUUGAUUAUGUCAUGAAUUCAAUAUGAUAGCAUCCACUGCAUGGACACAUACGCAGAUGCAUAAACACAAUUAGGCACUGAUGUUCUGCAUAAAUGCACAUGGUUGGUUAAUCUUUACUUAAAUCCGGAUGUUUGGCUUGCAGAUUUGCUAUUUCUUCUACAAAAAUAUAG
RNAcentral lists this unclassified non-coding RNA (222 nucleotides) under Hevea brasiliensis (rubber tree). The record is from RNAcentral. Lineage: Eukaryota; Viridiplantae; Streptophyta; Magnoliopsida; Malpighiales; Euphorbiaceae.